RNAcentral lists this transfer RNA (84 nucleotides) under Vacuolonema iberomarrocanum LEGE 07170. RNAcentral's name for it is "tRNA-OTHER". It matches the Rfam family "tRNA". From Rfam's summary of the family: Transfer RNA (tRNA) molecules are approximately 80 nucleotides in length. Their secondary structure includes four short double-helical elements and three loops (D, anti-codon, and T loops). Further hydrogen bonds mediate the characteristic L-shaped molecular structure. tRNAs have two regions of fundamental functional importance: the anti-codon, which is responsible for specific mRNA codon recognition, and the 3' end, to which the tRNAs corresponding amino acid is attached (by aminoacyl-tRNA synthetases). tRNAs cope with the degeneracy of the genetic code in two manners: having more than one tRNA (with a specific anti-codon) for a particular amino acid; and 'wobble' base-pairing, i.e. permitting non-standard base-pairing at the 3rd anti-codon position. RNAcentral also lists the same sequence under 1 other name. The record is from RNAcentral. Lineage: Bacteria; Bacillati; Cyanobacteriota; Cyanophyceae; Oculatellales; Oculatellaceae.
GGAAGGCACCGCUGAAUGGUCGGCAACUGGUCUUGAAAACCAGGGCGGUGUAACAAGCCGGGGGUUCGAUUCCUCUGCCUUCCG